AUCUUGGUCAGUCCAGAUUCCUCUCAACAGAGUGCACUGACAUUCUUUGGGACACAGUUUGUUUGAGGAUUUCUCUCCUAAAUCCAGACUUUAAUUUGGACAAAUAAGGCUUGUUUGAUAUGUGCACCUCGUUAUGUCCGAAGGCAGCCUCUCCAUUUAGAUGUCCACUGUUCCCCUAAUCUGCUUUUCUUGGGUCUCGACAUGCACAGUGGACAAGUCACCUUCAAACACCUUUAUAUGCUUUUUUUGUGUGUUCUUCCCUUCAAAAUACAACAGCUGGGUUGUGUUAUUCCACUACAAUCUGCCAGUAAUACUGUAUCUCUAAACUGACAAACUCCAUUGUUUUUUUCUCAGUUACUUGCAACGCUUGACUAUUUCUUCACUCUUUCAUCAGAAACAAUUUUUUGUAUGAAA
This is a long non-coding RNA of Siniperca chuatsi (mandarin fish), 414 nucleotides long. RefSeq lists it as uncharacterized. NCBI's taxonomy places the organism in Eukaryota, Metazoa, Chordata, Actinopteri, Centrarchiformes, Sinipercidae. The record is from RefSeq and is a predicted model, not a curated record. The transcript is spliced from 3 exons.